CACCGAAAGACUAAGGUUUCCUCAGCCAUGCUAAUCAGCUGAGGGUUAGUCGGGACCUAACGCGAACCCGAAAGGGGUAGUGGAUGGACAAUGGGUUAAUAUUCCCAUACUUGCUCACACUAAAAAGGGGACGGUUCAAUGUAGCUACUGGAGACUGACGGAAGUGUCAAGGCCUAGCCUUCGGGCGAAGCUGCUGUAGUGUAAUCGGAUCCAAGAAAAGCCGAAGUGAAGCAACCCGUACCAAAACCGACACAGGUGGUCGAGGAGAGAAUCCUAAGGUGCUCGAGUGAGUCGUGGCUAAGGAACUAGGCAAAAUAGUCUCGUAACUUCGGAAGAAGAGACGCCAUCAGCAAUGGUGGCCGCAGUGAAGAGGCCCAGGCGACUGUUUAUCAAAAACACAGGACUCUGCUAAAUCGAAAGAUGCUGUAUAGGGUCUGACACCUGCCCGGUGCUGGAAGGUUAAGGAAGGGCGUUAGCGUAAGCGAAGCGUUUGACUGAAGCCCCAGUAAACGGCGGCCGUAACUAUAACGGUCCUAAGGUAGCGAAAUUCCUUGUCGGGUAAGUUCCGACCUGCACGAAUGGUGUAACGAUCUGGGCACUGUCUCAGCCACGAGACUCGGUGAAAUUGUAGUAUCGGUGAAGAUGCCGAUUACCCGCAAUGGGACGAAAAGACCCUGUGAACCUUUACUAUUACUUCGUAUUGACUUUGAGUAAGUAAUGUGUAGGAUAGGUGGGAGGCUUUGAAGCUGGCACGCCAGUUGCGCUGGAGCCGUCCUUGAAAUACCACCCUUGUAUGUUUGAUGUUCUAACGCAGGCCCCUGAAUCGGGGUCGCGGACAGUGCCUGGUGGGUAGUUUGACUGGGGCGGUCUCCUCCCAAAGAGUAACGGAGGAGCACGAAGGUUGGCUAAUCCUGGUCGGACAUCAGGAGGUUAGUGCAAUGGCAUAAGCCAGCUUAACUGCGAGACGGACAGGUCGAGCAGGUACGAAAGUAGGUCAUAGUGAUCCGGUGGUUCUGAAUGGAAGGGCCAUCGCUCAACGGAUAAAGGUACUCCGGGGAUAACAGGCUGAUACCGCCCAAGAGUUCAUAUCGACGGCGGUGUUUGGCACCUCGAUGUCGGCUCAUCACAUCCUGGGGCUGAAGUAGGUCCCAAGGGUAUGGCUGUUCGCCAUUUAAAGUGGUACGCGAGCUGGGUUUAGAACGUCGUGAGACAGUUCGGUCCCUAUCUGCCGUGGGCGUUGGAAGAUUGAGAGGGGUUGCUCCUAGUACGAGAGGACCGGAGUGAACGCACCACUGGUGUUCGGGUUGUCAUGCCAAUGGCAUUGCCCGGUAGCUAAGUGCGGAAAAGAUAAGCGCUGAAAGCAUCUAAGCGCGAAACUUGCCUCAAGAUGAGUCUUCCCUGGGCCUUCAAGGCCCCUGAAGGAACGUUUAAGACUAAGACGUUGAUAGGCUGGGUGUGUAAGUGCAGCGAUGCAUUGAGCUAACCAGUACUAAUGAUCC
This 1499-nucleotide non-coding RNA is filed under the name Oryza sativa Indica Group (long-grained rice). RNAcentral's name for it is "Archaeal large subunit ribosomal RNA". It matches the Rfam family "Bacterial large subunit ribosomal RNA", at positions 1335 to 2910 of the family's 2925-position model. Lineage: Eukaryota; Viridiplantae; Streptophyta; Magnoliopsida; Poales; Poaceae. The record is from Rfam by way of RNAcentral.